GGUUUUAUAAUUUAAAAUAAAAUAUUAAAUUGCAAAUUUAAAUAUAGAUUAAUUUCUUAAAACUU
This 65-nucleotide transfer RNA is filed under the name Nebria ingens riversi. RNAcentral describes it as "tRNA-Cys". Lineage: Eukaryota; Metazoa; Arthropoda; Insecta; Coleoptera; Carabidae. The record is from RNAcentral.